UUGUAGUUCACAUUAAAGUAGUAUUUUCACAGUGCUUAGUAAUGAGACCACUGUUACCAGAGUGGUGGUUAAUUUACAGUGUAAUUGAACACUGUGAUGACUGAAAAUGUCUGGUGUGCUAUGCUUGGAUUAUGUUUAGCACACAACAGUACUACAGUAUCUGGUGGUAUUAUGGUCUCCCUUGAUUGGGCCGGCCUUUGUUUUAUUUUCAAAGUACCAGAUCAUGUUUACUGUUCAAUUCAUGAAUAUAUAUAUAGGUGGUAUUCAUAUUUAUUUGGACUGGUAUCAUAACCCAUUCCAGUAUUUGACAGACCACUAUCCGGUAAACCUGUGAAGUAUGGUAGUAUCUGGUACAACCCCACUACAGCAACUAGUAAGCAUGACUAUAAUAAGUAGUAUCCGGCACAACCAGCGCAAAAAUUUAGCCCCCACCAAAAACAGCAGGGCUAAAAAUAGAGAUUAU
This is a non-coding RNA of Paramuricea clavata, 463 nucleotides long. The record is from the annotation of a GenBank genome assembly. Lineage: Eukaryota; Metazoa; Cnidaria; Anthozoa; Malacalcyonacea; Plexauridae.